This 266-nucleotide signal recognition particle RNA is filed under the name Oscillospiraceae bacterium. RNAcentral describes it as "signal recognition particle sRNA large type". It matches the Rfam family "Bacterial large signal recognition particle RNA". Rfam says of the family: The signal recognition particle (SRP) is a universally conserved ribonucleoprotein involved in the co-translational targeting of proteins to membranes. Archaeal SRP consists of a 7S RNA and homologues of the eukaryotic SRP19 and SRP54 proteins. Lineage: Bacteria; Bacillati; Bacillota; Clostridia; Eubacteriales; Oscillospiraceae. The record is from RNAcentral.
CCGCACUAGUCGGGGAGCCGGCGGUGCCCUGUCACCUGCAACCCGCCUCAGCAGGGAUGAAUCCCCGCCGGCGGGGCCGCGAUGUGUCGUCAGCCCCGGGUGUGCAGCGAUGAGGAGCCGGUCUUGCGCAACGGGAACCCGUGAACCAUGUCAGGCGGGGAACCGAGCAGCAUUAAACGGCGCCUCCCGUGUGCCGCAAGGGCGCCGUCUCCGAGCCGGCGGCCCGGGUAACGGACGGAUCGCGCGCCUCAACGGCGGGUGUGCGG